RNAcentral lists this non-coding RNA (972 nucleotides) under Scotonycteris zenkeri (Zenker's fruit bat). Its description in RNAcentral is "partial 12S ribosomal RNA". It matches the Rfam family "Bacterial small subunit ribosomal RNA". Lineage: Eukaryota; Metazoa; Chordata; Mammalia; Chiroptera; Pteropodidae. The record is from RNAcentral.
CAUAAACACAAAGGUUUGGUCCUGGCCUUUCUAUUAGCCCCUAGUAGGAUUACACAUGCAAGCAUCAACACUCCAGUGAAAAUGCCCUUUAAAUCACCACAGAUAAAAAGGAGCGGGUAUCAAGCACACUAAAAGUAGCUCACGACACCUUGCAAAGCCACACCCCCACGGGAUACAGCAGUGACAAAACUUAAGCCAUAAACGAAAGUUUGACUAAGCCAUACUAGAACAGGGUUGGUAAAUUUCGUGCCAGCCACCGCGGUCAUACGAUUAACCCAAGUUAAUAGAUACACGGCGUAAAGAGUGUUAAAGAACAUCACCCAUAAUAAAGUUAAAUCUAUAGCCACGCCGUAGAAAGCCUCGGCUAAGACAAAAAUAAACCACGAAAGUGACUUUAAGCAACCCGACCACACUAUAGCUGAGACACAAACUGGGAUUAGAUACCCCACUAUGCUCAGCCCUAAACCCCAGUAGUUUAAAUAACAAUACUACUCGCCAGAGUACUACUAGCAACAGCCUAAAACUCAAAGGACUUGGCGGUGCUUUAUAUCCCUCUAGAGGAGCCUGUUCUGUAAUCGAUAAACCCCGAUAAACCUCACCAACUUUUGCUAAUGCAGCCUAUAUACCGCCAUCCUCAGCAAACCCUAAAAAGGAUACAUAGUAAGCACAAACAUAUAAACAUAAAAACGUUAGGUCAAGGUGUAGCCCAUGAGUUGGGAAGAAAUGGGCUACAUUUUCUACUAUAGAAUAUCAACGAAAACUUUCAUGAAAUCUGAAAAUAGAAGGUGGAUUUAGUAGUAAAUUAAGAAUAGAGAGCUUAAUUGAAUAAGGCCAUGAAGCACGCACACACCGCCCGUCACCCUCCUCAAGUGCUAAGAUACUAUCAACUAAUCCUAUUAAUAAAUGUACACACACAUGAGAGGAGACAAGUCGUAACAAGGUAAGCGUACUGGAAAGUGCGCUUGGAUAAAC